UUGCGAAGGCAGCUUACUACAUAGUUAUUGACACUGAGGCACGAAAGCGUGGGGAUCAAACAGGAUUAGAUACCCUGGUAGUCCACGCCCUAAACGAUGGAUACUCGACAUCAGCGAUACACUGUUGGUGUCUGAGCGAAAGCAUUAAGUAUCCCACCUGGGAAGUACGACCGCAAGGUUGAAACUCAAAGGAAUUGACGGGGACCCGCACAAGCGGUGGAUGAUGUGGUUUAAUUCGAUGCAACGCGAAAAACCUUACCUACCCUUGACAUGUCAGGAAUCCUGUAGAGAUAUGGGAGUGCUCGAAAGAGAAUCUGAACACAGGUGCUGCAUGGCCGUCGUCAGCUCGUGUCGUGAGAUGUUGGGUUAAGUCCCGCAACGAGCGCAACCCUUAUCAUUAGUUGCUACGCAAGGGCACUCUAAUGAGACUGCCGGUGACAAACCGGAGGAAGGUGGGGAUGACGUCAGGUCAUCAUGGCCCUUAUGGGUAGGGCUACACACGUCAUACAAUGGCCGGUACAGAGGGCUGCCAACUCGCGAGAGGGAGCUAAUCUCAGAAAACCGGUCGUAGUCCGGAUCGCAGUCUGCAACUCGACUGCGUGAAGUCGGAAUCGCUAGUAAUCGCGGAUCAGCUUGCCGCGGUGAAUACGUUCCCGGGUCUUGUACACACCGCCCGUCACACCAUGGGAGCGGGUUCUGCCAGAAGUAGUUAGCCUAACCGCAAGGAGGGCGAUUACCACGGCAGGU
This 747-nucleotide ribosomal RNA is filed under the name uncultured bacterium. Its description in RNAcentral is "bacterial SSU rRNA". It matches the Rfam family "Bacterial small subunit ribosomal RNA", at positions 713 to 1467 of the family's 1533-position model. The record is from RNAcentral.